RNAcentral lists this ribosomal RNA (430 nucleotides) under Pseudomonadota bacterium. Its description in RNAcentral is "Proteobacteria bacterium partial 16S ribosomal RNA". It matches the Rfam family "Bacterial small subunit ribosomal RNA", at positions 355 to 776 of the family's 1533-position model. The record is from RNAcentral. Lineage: Bacteria; Pseudomonadati; Pseudomonadota.
UGGGGAAUAUUGGACAAUGGGGGGAACCCUGAUCCAGCCAUGCCGCGUGUGUGAAGAAGGCCUUAUGGUUGUAAAGCACUUUAAGCGAGGAGGAGGGUACUGGUAUUAAUACUACCAGCUACUGGACGUUACUCGCAGAAUAAGCACCGGCUAACUCUGUGCCAGCAGCCGCGGUAAUACAGAGGGUGCGAGCGUUAAUCGGAUUUACUGGGCGUAAAGCGUGCGUAGGCGGCUAAUUGAGUCGGAUGUGAAAUCCCCGAGCUUAACUUGGGAAUUGCAUUCGCUACUGGUUAGCUAGAGUGUGGGAGAGGAUGGUAGAAUUCCAGGUGUAGCGGUGAAAUGCGUAGAGAUCUGGAGGAAUACCGAUGGCGAAGGCAGCCAUCUGGCCUAACACUGACGCUGAGGUACGAAAGCAUGGGGAGCAAACAGG